Molecule: ribosomal RNA, 468 nt
Filed under: uncultured bacterium
Lineage: Bacteria
Description: partial 16S ribosomal RNA
Rfam family: Bacterial small subunit ribosomal RNA
Source: RNAcentral
GACGAACGCUGGCGGCGUGCUUAACACAUGCAAGUCGAACGGAGAGGCCCUGCUUUUGUGGGGUGCUCGAGUGGCGAACGGGUGAGUAACACGUGAGUAACCUGCCCUUGACUUUGGGAUAACUUCAGGAAACUGGGGCUAAUACCGGAUAGGAGCUCCUGCUGCAUGGUGGGGGUUGGAAAGUUUCGGCGGUUGGGGAUGGACUCGCGGCUUAUCAGCUUGUUGGUGGGGUAGUGGCUUACCAAGGCUUUGACGGGUAGCCGGCCUGAGAGGGUGACCGGCCACAUUGGGACUGAGAUACGGCCCAGACUCCUACGGGAGGCAGCAGUGGGGAAUAUUGCACAAUGGGCGGAAGCCUGAUGCAGCAACGCCGCGUGCGGGAUGACGGCCUUCGGGUUGUAAACCGCUUUCGCCUGUGACGAAGCGUGAGUGACGGUAAUGGGUAAAGAAGCACCGGCUAACUACGUG